AGAAGCUUGCUUCUCUGAUGUUAGCGGCGGACGGGUGAGUAACACGUGGAUAACCUACCUAUAAGACUGGGAUAACUUCGGGAAACCGGAGCUAAUACCGGAUAAUAUUUUGAACCGCAUGGUUCAAAAGUGAAAGACGGUCUUGCUGUCACUUAUAGAUGGAUCCGCGCUGCAUUAGCUAGUUGGUAAGGUAACGGCUUACCAAGGCAACGAUGCAUAGCCGACCUGAGAGGGUGAUCGGCCACACUGGAACUGAGACACGGUCCAGACUCCUACGGGAGGCAGCAGUAGGGAAUCUUCCGCAAUGGGCGAAAGCCUGACGGAGCAACGCCGCGUGAGUGAUGAAGGUCUUCGGAUCGUAAAACUCUGUUAUUAGGGAAGAACAUAUGUGUAAGUAACUGUGCACAUCUUGACGGUACCUAAUCAGAAAGCCACGGCUAACUACGUGCCAGCAGCCGCGGUAAUACGUAGGUGGCAAGCGUUAUCCGGAAUUAUUGGGCGUAAAGCGCGCGUAGGCGGUUUUUUAAGUCUGAUGUGAAAGCCCACGGCUCAACCGUGGAGGGUCAUUGGAAACUGGAAAACUUGAGUGCAGAAGAGGAAAGUGGAAUUCCAUGUGUAGCGGUGAAAUGCGCAGAGAUAUGGGGGAACACCAGUGGCGAAGGCGACUUUCNUGGUCUGUAACUGACGCUGAUGUGCGAAAGCGUGGGGAUCAAACA
RNAcentral lists this ribosomal RNA (716 nucleotides) under uncultured Staphylococcus sp. RNAcentral describes it as "bacterial SSU rRNA". It matches the Rfam family "Bacterial small subunit ribosomal RNA", at positions 74 to 774 of the family's 1533-position model. Lineage: Bacteria; Bacillati; Bacillota; Bacilli; Caryophanales; Staphylococcaceae. The record is from RNAcentral.